This 343-nucleotide transfer-messenger RNA is filed under the name Candidatus Cloacimonadota bacterium. It matches the Rfam family "transfer-messenger RNA". From Rfam's summary of the family: Bacterial tmRNA, also known as 10Sa RNA or SsrA, is named for its dual tRNA and mRNA-like properties. Its role is to liberate the mRNA from a stalled ribosome. To accomplish this part of the tmRNA is used as a reading frame that ends in a translation stop signal. The record is from RNAcentral. RNAcentral also lists the same sequence under 1 other name. Lineage: Bacteria; Pseudomonadati; Candidatus Cloacimonadota.
GGGGGUGCUUGGUUUCGACAGGGAUGUAGUGGAUUAUUGAUGCAUGUGGAUGAGUUAACCUAUUCCUAAAAAACGGUUGAGAAACAUAAUCGGAAACGAUAAUUUAUUAAUGGCUGCGUAAGCGGCCACGGUCUUUAAAAGAUGGCGACACGCUUUGAAAAGAUUGUCAUAUAUUGUCGCUACUUUGGACGAGUGUCUGGUAGUUCGGAGGACAUUUACAGACUGGAUGACAUCAAAUUUUGAUUGUUUUAUAAAUGUUAUCGAGAUAAUAAAACAACUAAACAUGUAGACUUGGUAGUUGACAUAUCUUUGGACGCGGGUUCGAUCCCCGCCACCUCCACCA